This 493-nucleotide ribosomal RNA is filed under the name uncultured bacterium. RNAcentral's name for it is "partial 16S ribosomal RNA". It matches the Rfam family "Bacterial small subunit ribosomal RNA", at positions 31 to 506 of the family's 1533-position model. The record is from RNAcentral.
GAACGCUGGCGGCGUGCCUAAUACAUGCAAGUCGAGCGAACAGAUGAGGAGCUUGCUCCUCUGACGUUAGCGGCGGACGGGUGAGUAACACGUGGAUAACCUACCUAUAAGACUGGGAUAACUUCGGGAAACCGGAGCUAAUACCGGAUAAUAUAUUGAACCGCAUGGUUCAAUAGUGAAAGACGGUUUUGCUGUCACUUAUAGAUGGAUCCGCGCCGCAUUAGCUAGUUGGUAAGGUAACGGCUUACCAAGGCAACGAUGCGUAGCCGACCUGAGAGGGUGAUCGGCCACACUGGAACUGAGACACGGUCCAGACUCCUACGGGAGGCAGCAGUAGGGAAUCUUCCGCAAUGGGCGAAAGCCUGACGGAGCAACGCCGCGUGAGUGAUGAAGGUCUUCGGAUCGUAAAACUCUGUUAUUAGGGAAGAACAAAUGUGUAAGUAACUAUGCACGUCUUGACGGUACCUAAUCAGAAAGCCACGGCUAACUACGU